GGUUGCCAAACCGCAAGGUGGAGCUAAUCUCAAAAAACCGGUCUAAGUUCGGAUUGGUCUCUGCAACUCGGGACCAUGAAGCUGGAAUCGCUAGUAAUCGCUGAUCAGCAUGCAGCGGUGAAUACGUUCCCGGGCCUUGUACACACCGCCCGUCACACCACGAAAGUUGUCUAUACCAGAAGUGCGUCACCUAACCGCAAGGAAGGAGCGUCCCAAGGUAUGGGCAAUGAUUGGGGUGAAGUCGUAACAAGGUAGCCGUAGGGGAACCUGCGGCUGGAUCACCUCCUUUCUAAGG
Molecule: ribosomal RNA, 295 nt
Filed under: Deltaproteobacteria bacterium RIFCSPLOWO2_02_FULL_44_10
Lineage: Bacteria; Deltaproteobacteria
Description: partial 16S ribosomal RNA
Rfam family: Bacterial small subunit ribosomal RNA
Source: RNAcentral